GACGAACGCUGGCGGCGUGCUUAACACAUGCAAGUCGAGCGGGAUCCAACCGGUGGCAACACCGGGGAAGAUCUAGCGGCGAACGGGUGAGUAACACGUGAGCAACCUGCCCCGAAGACUGGGAUAACACCGGGAAACCGGUGCUAAUACCGGAUGUCGUCAUUAGGCCGCAUGACCUGAUGAUGAAAGGAUUCAUCGCUUCGGGAGGGGCUCGCGGGCUAUCAGCUUGNGGUGGGGUAACGGCCUACCAAGGCGACGACGGCUAGCUGGUCUGAGAGGACGACCAGCCACACUGGCACUGCGACACGGGCCAGACUCCUACGGGAGGCAGCAGUAAGGAAUAUUGCGCAAUGGGCGAAAGCCUGACGCAGCGACGCCGCGGUGGGGGAU
Molecule: ribosomal RNA, 390 nt
Filed under: uncultured bacterium
Lineage: Bacteria
Description: bacterial SSU rRNA
Rfam family: Bacterial small subunit ribosomal RNA
Source: RNAcentral